RNAcentral lists this ribosomal RNA (253 nucleotides) under uncultured bacterium. RNAcentral describes it as "partial 16S ribosomal RNA". It matches the Rfam family "Bacterial small subunit ribosomal RNA", at positions 524 to 776 of the family's 1533-position model. The record is from RNAcentral.
UACAGAGGUCCCGAGCGUUGUUCGGAUUCACUGGGCGUAAAGGGUGCGUAGGCGGUCGGGUAAGUCUGAUGUGAAAUCUCACAGCUUAACUGUGAAACUGCAUUGGAUACUAUUCGGCUUGAGAGUUGGAGGGGGGACUGGAAUUCUUGGUGUAGCAGUGAAAUGCGUAGAUAUCAAGAGGAACACCAGUGGCGAAGGCGAGUCCCUGGACAACUUCUGACGCUGAGGCACGAAAGCUAGGGGAGCAAACAGG